AUGGCCGUCCUUCCUUUCAGGCUGCGGCUGCGGCUGCGCACGGCGGCCAUUUCCGGCUUGAGCCCCUCGACUUCUGUCGUCUGUCCUAGCAGGCAGCACAGAGACGGCGGCUCCUUCUCCUGCCGUGCCGCGGCAGCAGCCGGGCGGCCGAUCAUCGUCUCCGGGGACCCGCCCACGUUCGUCUCCGCCCCCGGCCGCCGCAUUGUCGCUGUUGGCGACCUCCAUGGUGAUCUCCACCAAACGAGGGCUGCACUGGUGAUGGCCGGUGUCCUGAGCGCGGAAUCAGAUUGUCAUGUGUGGACAGGCGGGCAGACGGUUCUGGUUCAAGUUGGGGAUAUCCUUGACCGUGGAGAAGAUGAAAUUGCAAUACUGUCCCUGUUGAGUUCACUCAAUGUGCAAGCAAAAUCUCAAGGCGGUGCUGUGUUUCAGGUAAACGGAAAUCAUGAAACAAUGAAUGUGGAAGGCGAUUUCCGGUACGUCGAUCCAGGAUCAUUUGAUGAGUGUAUACGCUUCCUGGAAUACUUGGAGGAAUUUGAUGGCGAGUGGGAUGAUGCUUUCCUCAACUGGGUUAAUGUUUCUCAAAGGUGGAAGGAAGAAUAUCGGGUGUCGCCUAAUGGUGACUGGCUUCCUUUGAACUUUGUCAAGAAAAAUAAAGGGUUUGCUGCAAGAGCAUCACUUUUUAAGCAAGGUGGACCAUUAGCUUGCGAAUUGGCACGACAUCCUGUUGUCCUGAAUGUCAAUGACUGGAUGUUUUGCCAUGGUGGUCUUCUUCCCCAUCAUGUUCAAUACGGGAUUGAACGCAUCAACAAGGAAGUAUCGAAUUGGAUGCAAUGUUCAAGUGAAGACAGCGAUGAUACCGAUCUCCCCUUCAUAGCUACCAGAGGAUAUGACAGUGUAGUAUGGACUCGUUUGUACUCUCAAGAUUCAGUUGAAAGGACACAGCGUUCUUGGGAUCUAUCUUCUAUUGUCGCUGAACAAACAUUGAAAUCUGUUGGAGCUAAAGGAAUGGUCGUCGGACACACUCCCCAGACUCGUGGAGUGAACUGCAAAUGCGAUGGUAAAGUUUGGUGUAUUGAUGUGGGCAUGUCUUAUGGUGUACUGCAUUCGAGACCAGAGGUCCUAGAAAUAGUCAAUGACAGACCAAGAGUUCUAAAGGGCCAGAGGGACUCAUACGAUGAGAUGGAAGUGCUGGACUAUUUAUGA
This 1203-nucleotide ribosomal RNA is filed under the name Triticum aestivum (bread wheat). Its description in RNAcentral is "partial small subunit ribosomal RNA". Lineage: Eukaryota; Viridiplantae; Streptophyta; Magnoliopsida; Poales; Poaceae. The record is from RNAcentral.